CAUGGAGGGUGCCCCUGGGGGAGGGUCGCCCCCAUGGAAGAGUCCAACCUAGCGGCUGGGAGCAGGGCCGGGGGGGCAAGAGGGAGCCAGAUGUUCGGUCUCCCCCUCCUCCCCGCCCAGAGCUCGGAGCUGACCCUGAGUCAGAAGUGAAGGCCAAGCUGCAGACCCUGACCUGCUGGAGCUGUGCCACACGGUGCCCAUGGAGGUCACUCACCUGGGGGGCAAGGGCUAUGGCGCAGAGGAAGAGGAUGACUUCGCCGCCUUCCACACCUGGCUGCGCUGCUACUCCGUGCCCGGCAUGAGCUCGCUGCGGGACGGCCACGGCAGAACCAUCUGGUUCUACGGGGAUCCUGGGCCCCUGGCCCCCAAAGGUGAGCCUAGUCUUCAUUCCCUAGGAGGGAUUUGCGGUUAAUCGUGGUGGUAAAGGGACCCGGCUACAGCAGGAGGCGGGGAGCGGGGACUAGAGGAGCGAGAGAGAGAGUCUCUGGCACCGGCGCCCUUUGAUCCUUAACCAAGGAGUAGACUGCCCUGUCUGGCCUGGGGGCUGGUUAGAUUGCCCAGAGGCAGGAUGGGGGGACCAGUUGGCCUCUGUGGGGUGCCUAGGAUUCCUUUCAUUCUAAAUAACUGCAGUGGUAUUGCACCUCAGCGUUUUUGAUUGGAGUGAUCCUUUUGCGCCCACCCUCAAGGGGGGAGCCCAGAGGGCCCAGGGCUGAGGUGACCCUGUGAACCCCACGUGAGUGAAUACGCGGCCACUAUCCUUUCCAUCCUGCAGGAGAAGAAACGCCGAGGGGGUCGCACCAAGGGGAAAGCCGGGCCUGACUUCAACACCACUGAUGCAGAAGACACGGAACCCACCCGCCCUAGAAAUGGCCCCAGGGCAGGUCGACGCUCAAGCAGGAAGGCGCGGAAGGAGACGGCCAGCACUGGGACCCCGGGGCCUGAGGGAGCCGGUGAAAGAGGCGAGGAGUCCGUCCCAGGGGCCGGAGGAAACCAACCCGCCCCCGAAGACAGUUCGGCCACCGGGGAGAGGGAGCCGCCGCGCCACGCCGGGACUUGGGUAAGAGUUCCGCCUGGGGGUCCGCCUGGCGAAAGCCCCUCUCCUCCCCUGCUCCGGGGUUGCCCCCCCCGCCUCAGACCCCUGCCUGGAGAUACCCCACCCCCGAUGGUAGGAAAGCCUUUCAAGCACAGGAUGGGCUGCCCCCCUUGGUUUGGAUGGUGGGGGGCCCUUCUCCUGCCCGAAGGUUGGAGCCCGGACCAGCUGACUCCUCUCAGCCCCAGCAAGAUAAGCACGAUUCUUUGGGCUUCCCACUCCUCCAGCUCUAAACCCCCUUCUGGCUUCUGCUAGCCUAGACUGGGAAGGUGGAGAGAGGGGGAGGGACUGGGUGUGGAAGUUUUAUUCUGGAAGCUUUUGGGGCAGGACCCCCACAAGGAGGGCAGCUGUGAGGUGG
Molecule: long non-coding RNA, 1448 nt
Filed under: Ornithorhynchus anatinus (platypus)
Lineage: Eukaryota; Metazoa; Chordata; Mammalia; Monotremata; Ornithorhynchidae
Description: lncRNA (ENSOANG00000050812.1)
Source: RNAcentral